This 510-nucleotide ribosomal RNA is filed under the name uncultured bacterium. RNAcentral describes it as "partial 16S ribosomal RNA". It matches the Rfam family "Bacterial small subunit ribosomal RNA", at positions 28 to 507 of the family's 1533-position model. The record is from RNAcentral.
GACGAACGCUGGCGGCGUGCUUAACACAUGCAAGUCGAACGAAGAGCGAUGGAAGCUUGCCUCUAUCAAUCUUAGUGGCGAACGGGUGAGUAACGCGUAAUCAACCUGCCCUUCUGAGGGGGGCAACAGUUGGAAACGACUGCUAAUGCCGCAUACGAUCUGACCUCGGCAUCGAGGAUAGAUGAAAGGUGGCCUCUAUUUAUGAGCUAUCACUGGAGGAGGGGAGUGCGGCGGAUUAGCUAGGUGGAGGGGGAACGGCCCACCAAGGCGAUGGUCAGUAGCCGGUCUGAUAGGAUGAACGGCCACAUUGGGACUGAGACACGGCCCAGACUCCUACGGGAGGCAGCAGUGGGGAAUCUUCCGCAAUGGACGAAAGUCUGACGGAGCAACGCCGCGUGAGUGAUGACGGCCUUCGGGUUGUAAAGCUCUGUUAAUCGGGACGAAAGGCCUUCUUGCGAAUAGUUAGAAGGAUUGACGGUACCGGAAUAGAAAGCCACGGCUAACUACGUG